GACACUGAUAUCGUCGGACAAAAAAUGGCAUCCUCUUCUCCUCACAGCUGCAAAAUCGCUGAAUCCUGGCAUGAUUAAUAAUGUAGCAACAGUAGAGAUCCAUCAAACUAAGCACAUAGAAGUGGUGUAGGAGAAGCUGGCUAAAGGGAUUGACGGUUCCGUAAGGCAAGUAUUUAACCGAUUCACACCAAAGAUUGCCCCAUGAUCCGUCGAAGCAAAACGAGCAAAAGGAGAAGCUCAAAAGCAACCAAAUGAGGGACACCGGUACCACCUCAAGGACAGUGAGUGUGCAACUGUGCAUAGAGUACGUACAAUUGGAGAUGCCCAAACUACUUAUCCCAAACACAAAUCUCCUAAGCCAUCGUUACCAUGUGCACUACUUAUCAGUGCUACUUAUUAAUCUCAACAUUAAUCUAUGUUUACUCAUUGCCUUAA
Brachypodium distachyon (stiff brome) is the source of this 435-nucleotide long non-coding RNA. RefSeq lists it as uncharacterized. The record is from RefSeq and is a predicted model, not a curated record. Lineage: Eukaryota; Viridiplantae; Streptophyta; Magnoliopsida; Poales; Poaceae. The transcript has 2 exons.